Molecule: long non-coding RNA, 977 nt
Organism: Ostrinia nubilalis (European corn borer)
Lineage: Eukaryota; Metazoa; Arthropoda; Insecta; Lepidoptera; Crambidae
Exons: 2
Source: RefSeq, a predicted model, not a curated record
AAGAGCCAUUUUACAUUUUCGUGCGAAUUUCUAAGAUUUUGGAAGCAUGAAUUACUAUCUUAAGCAACACCCAGAGAUUAUUUAAUAACUGCGAAAGAUAGGUCAAUCCUUGGUGUUGACCAUUAAUGAAACGGAUUUACUAAAACUCUUUUGCUUAAUUCACAGUGCCCCAUCUCCCACAACCAUUUUACGGAAAAAUUGCCGCAGACUCAUUUUCAAAGUCCUGUAUCUAUUAUUUAUGCUCAUAUAAUAAGCUUAAAAAUAUAUAGUAAUCAUCGGACAUAUAUUCUUGUAGUCCAUUAAUGAAAUAAAUUCUCGAAUUUCAUUACCAUUAUUGAGUAAAAUCUAAAAAUAAUUUGGCAAAUUUGAAGAAUAACGUCACAUUUUGAUCGUGGUUUUUGGUUUAAAAACACAGCAAUAACUGCAAUAAAAGUAUCCCAAAAUAAAGAAUAUUCAUUGUAGAAUUGAUUUCUAUAGUUAUUGUUUAAAUAUUAGUAACCACUUUGUCAAAAUAUUGAUGUGAAUAUCAGUAUAAAUUACAAUGCGCAAGCCGACAUCGAUUAGUAUGGCGCGAGCGCCCGUCAAGGCAGGACCUGUGUCAUUUUUCCCGCCGUGACGUUUACGUGCAUUCGUGUCGUAAAGCGGUGAUUUGUACGGCGACCAAAUACAUUUGAUACUAUGCCGAGAGGCUGUUUCGAGUCGGCCGGCCGAGCAGAAAUUGAAAUGGUGAAUUUUAAUUUCUUUGACGGAUCUGGGUGUAACCAUGUAUAAUAUCUCUGUCUGAUAAUGGAUCUGGAGGAAAUGCAAUGGCCACCUCCGUAACAAAAAAAUAGAACCCUAUGGAGUUUGGGCUUGUGUGAUUCGCCUUGACGAAUAUUUCGUAUCCAGGGUCCGAUGAUGGAGCUGUAAAGGGGCAGAUUUUUUUUCACUAUGUGACUGUCUUUAUUUUGUACUUAAUAUAUAUUUUACAUAUUAUA